Daphnia magna is the source of this 1173-nucleotide long non-coding RNA. RefSeq lists it as uncharacterized. NCBI's taxonomy places the organism in Eukaryota, Metazoa, Arthropoda, Branchiopoda, Diplostraca, Daphniidae. The record is from RefSeq and is a predicted model, not a curated record. The transcript has 5 exons.
GUCCCUGGCAACAAUUUGCAGCAAGAAAUAGGCAGCUCAAUUCGCUAUACUAGUGCAACUUGCCUCACGCAUUCAGUUGCAAGUAUAUGUAUAUUCUAUAUUUUGUUACCUGAUUUUGUGGUAAGUUCACACAGCCUGGUCUUAUGAGGAUCGAAGAUUGAGCUUUAUGGCGCAAGGACAAUGCUGUAGGAAAGGGUUAAAAGUAUAGUUCGUUUGCCAACAUUUAACCACAGACUAGGAGUAGAAUUAACGAUCUACUCCUAGUCUGUGGUUAGAUGUUGGCAAACGAAGAGCUUGUCUUGUGGUUCCUAGUUGUGCAAGUUUCGACCCACCCAUGCCAUCACCUCGUCAAAUAAGGUUUUAACGAAGAAAACUCAAAAGAGAAACACAUAAAGGGUCCAAGAAAACCUCCAUUCACUCUUCAACACGAAAAAGAAGAAGCCCUUAGCAAGGAAAGUGUGAUGAAAUAGCCGAAAACUUUUACGCACCGUGGCAAAGUUUACGACAGGGACCUAUGCUUUUGCCAUCUAGACGACAUUCAGGUUGUGCUGCUAGGCAGAUAAAUUCUUCAAUCCUUGGGGAAUCGAUGAUGGUCUGGAGGAAUGCCCAGCUACCAAGGAAAUCAUGUUCGGACUUGUCUCCCGCAAAAUUUGGAUAAAACGUAUGGGUGUAAUUGAUGUGAUUGCUGCAGAAGGUUUCGUUACGUGGAAUACAUUGAGUGGACGAUGACGCAGGGCACGUUUUCAUUGGAAUGUGUUGUUGAAUUGUUUUCAAGUUGCGUGAAAUUUGUUGUGAAGGGCGUUGACGGAUUGAUUUCUGCGGGACGUGGGGUAACCGAAACACCAUCCUCAACAGACGUGACAUUCACCCCAUCUAAUCCUUGUUUACAAUAAAUAGGGAAAACAAAUGCUUACCGUUUUCACCGGUCAACCCAAAUUUUACUCCACAGUAGACAGCCGCAAACCCCGCCGCCAUUAAAACCAACGUAAAGCACGCCAAACAGAUUUGCCGGUUCCAGUAGCUAGACAUUUUGACAGUCGGUGCCCUCAGGUCUUCCUUGGUCAUGGCGUCAGAAAAACUGUGUACCUCGAUCUUCUUUGUGCUAAUUUUAAAAAGUUUUACAAAGUAACAGUUCCUUUCUCAGUCAAUAAAAAUAUUUGUUGAUAAAACUUA